GCUGCAUGCUUUAUACAUGCAAGUCGAACGGAGGCCCUAGCUUGCUAGGUGUCCUUAGUGGCGCACGGGUGAGUAACACGUGGGAACAUACCUCAUAGUACGGAAUAACUGCGGGAAACUGUAGCUAAUACCGUAUAUUCCAGUAAUGGGAAAGAUUUAUCGCUAUGAGAUUGGCCCGCGCAAGAUUAGCUUGUUGGUGAGGUAAUGGCUCACCAAGGCUCCGAUCUUUAGCUGGUUUGAGAGGACGAUCAGCCACACUGGGACUGAGACACGGCCCAGACUCCUACGGGAGGCAGCAGUAGGGAAUAUUGGACAAUGGGGGAAACCCUGAUCCAGCAAUGCAGCGUGAGUGACGAAGGCCUUAGGGUUGUAAAACUCUUUCAUCGGUGAGGAUAAUGACAGUAGCCGAAGAAGAAGGACCGGCUAAUUC
RNAcentral lists this ribosomal RNA (430 nucleotides) under uncultured Alphaproteobacteria bacterium. RNAcentral describes it as "bacterial SSU rRNA". It matches the Rfam family "Bacterial small subunit ribosomal RNA", at positions 39 to 503 of the family's 1533-position model. The record is from RNAcentral. Lineage: Bacteria; Pseudomonadati; Pseudomonadota; Alphaproteobacteria.